This 77-nucleotide transfer RNA is filed under the name Actinomycetota bacterium. Its description in RNAcentral is "tRNA-Val". It matches the Rfam family "tRNA". From Rfam's summary of the family: Transfer RNA (tRNA) molecules are approximately 80 nucleotides in length. Their secondary structure includes four short double-helical elements and three loops (D, anti-codon, and T loops). Further hydrogen bonds mediate the characteristic L-shaped molecular structure. tRNAs have two regions of fundamental functional importance: the anti-codon, which is responsible for specific mRNA codon recognition, and the 3' end, to which the tRNAs corresponding amino acid is attached (by aminoacyl-tRNA synthetases). tRNAs cope with the degeneracy of the genetic code in two manners: having more than one tRNA (with a specific anti-codon) for a particular amino acid; and 'wobble' base-pairing, i.e. permitting non-standard base-pairing at the 3rd anti-codon position. Lineage: Bacteria; Bacillati; Actinomycetota. The record is from RNAcentral.
GGGCGUAUAGCUCAGUUGGUUAGAGCGCAUGCAUGACACGCAUGAGGUCGUGGGUUCAAUUCCCUCUACGCCCACCA